RNAcentral lists this small RNA (1156 nucleotides) under Arabidopsis thaliana (thale cress). RNAcentral's name for it is "ATSL157530". The record is from RNAcentral. Lineage: Eukaryota; Viridiplantae; Streptophyta; Magnoliopsida; Brassicales; Brassicaceae.
AUUGAAACAUGUACUUUCAGAUUCAUCCUUAAAAAUAUGUUUCCAAUUGAACAGGUCAUUAAACCGAGAUUAACCACAAAAUCCGCGUUUAUUGUACCGCUAUUGUGAUUUACCCGACUAAUCCCACACCCGUUAAGAAAACGACGUCGUUUUGUCUUUGUUAUGUAAUGUGAAUCUAUCUAUAUAUGUUAUGUGUUGUGUUAAUUGGUAAGGAAAAUGACAAAUCGAAAUAGAUAAAACUCCUAAUCAUAAGGAUAGAUAAGACUCCAAAUCAAUCAGUCAACCUAAACAAUAACAUCCUAAAGAGAAUCAACUUCCGAAAAUACAUCAUCCAAAAUAGACAAAAGAGGUUGAAGAUUGUUCCAAUGACAAUCUAAAUCAAUAAAGAACUAGAACUACUCUCAUUGAUCACAUAGACUGCUUCUCUGUGUGAGUGUGACUGUAUCGGCUCCAUGUGGUGUUUCUUGAAGCUCCAUUGUAGGCUUACAAAACAACGCUGUUUUCUUAACGGUGUGGGUGAUUAGUUGGGUAAAUCACAAUCGCGGUACAGUAAACGCGGAUUUGUGGUUAAUCUUGGUUUAAUGACUGGUUCAACUGGAAACAUAUUUUUAAGGAUGAAUCUGAAAGUACAUGUUGCAAUUUUAAGAAUUAUCGAAGUUUAUGGUGGAAAUUUCAGGAGCAAAAAGUGUGUGGAGAAAACCUGAGAAUGCAAUUAGUUUAUGGCUAUAAAAUCAGCUAACCCUUUUCUUAACGGAUAUAGGUGAUUAAUCGAGUAAAUCGCAAUCGCGGUACAGUAAACGCGGAUUUGUGGUUAAUCCCGGUUUAAUGACCGGUUCAAUUGGAAAUGUAUUUUUAAGGAUGAAUCCGAAAGUACAUGUUGUAAUUUAAAGAAUUAUCAAAGUUUAUGGUGAAAAUUUCAGGAGCAAAAAGUAUAGGGGGAAAAGCUGAGAAUGCAAUUAGUUUAUGGCUAUAAAAUCAGAGUAGAGAGAAUUCACGUACACAACACAAAAAUUCAUUCUCUCUCAUCAUACUCUUUUUUUUCUUUCUACUUUGAUAUUAAAGAAAGUUGCCAACCCCCAUUAAAAGUAAUUAUUUGUGUAUAAUUUUGUUUAUAGAGUAUUUUAACCACACAACACUAUCAACUUAGAACAAGAUU